This 182-nucleotide ribosomal RNA is filed under the name uncultured Gammaproteobacteria bacterium. RNAcentral's name for it is "partial 16S ribosomal RNA". It matches the Rfam family "Bacterial small subunit ribosomal RNA", at positions 316 to 488 of the family's 1533-position model. Lineage: Bacteria; Pseudomonadati; Pseudomonadota; Gammaproteobacteria. The record is from RNAcentral.
GGCUUCUGAGACACGGUCCAGACUCCUACGGGAGGCAGCAGUGGGGAAUAUUGGACAAUGGGCGCAAGCCUGAUCCAGCCAUGCCGCGUGUGUGAAGAAGGCCUUCGGGUUGUAAAGCACUUUCAGCGAGGAGGAAGGGUUGGUCGUUAAUAGCGGCUAAUUUUGACGUUACUCGCAGAGGA